RNAcentral lists this ribosomal RNA (912 nucleotides) under Ascochyta medicaginicola. RNAcentral's name for it is "LSU rRNA". It matches the Rfam family "Eukaryotic large subunit ribosomal RNA", at positions 38 to 964 of the family's 3401-position model. The record is from RNAcentral. Lineage: Eukaryota; Fungi; Ascomycota; Dothideomycetes; Pleosporales; Didymellaceae.
GCAUAUCAAUAAGCGGAGGAAAAGAAACCAACAGGGGAUUGCCCUAGUAACGGCGAAGUGAAGCGGCAACAGCUCAAAUUUGAAAUCUGGCGUCUUUGGCGUCCGAGUUGUAAUUUGCAGAGGGCGCUUUGGCAUUGGCAGCGGUCCAAGUUCCUUGGAACAGGACGUCACAGAGGGUGAGAAUCCCGUACGUGGUCGCUAGCCUUUACCGUGUAAAGCCCCUUCGACGAGUCGAGUUGUUUGGGAAUGCAGCUCUAAAUGGGAGGUAAAUUUCUUCUAAAGCUAAAUACUGGCCAGAGACCGAUAGCGCACAAGUAGAGUGAUCGAAAGAUGAAAAGCACUUUGGAAAGAGAGUUAAAAAGCACGUGAAAUUGUUGAAAGGGAAGCGCUUGCAGCCAGACUUGCCUGUAGUUGCUCAUCCGGGUUUCUACCCGGUGCACUCUUCUAUAGGCAGGCCAGCAUCAGUUUGGGCGGUUGGAUAAAGGUCUCUGUCAUGUACCUCCUUUCGGGGAGAACUUAUAGGGGAGACGACAUGCAACCAGCCCGGACUGAGGUCCGCGCAUCUGCUAGGAUGCUGGCGUAAUGGCUGUAAGCGGCCCGUCUUGAAACACGGACCAAGGAGUCUAACAUCUAUGCGAGUGUUUGGGUGUCAAGCCCGAGCGCGUAAUGAAAGUGAACGGAGGUGGGAACCUUUCGGGGUGCACCAUCGACCGAUCCUGAUGUCUUCGGAUGGAUUUGAGUAAGAGCAUAGCUGUUGGGACCCGAAAGAUGGUGAACUAUGCUUGAAUAGGGUGAAGCCAGAGGAAAACUCUGGUGGAGGCUCGCAGCGGUUCUGACGUGCAAAUCGAUCGUCAAAUUUGGGGCAUAGGGGCGAAAGACUAAUCGAACUAUCUAGUAGCUGGGUUCCUGCGA